RNAcentral lists this ribosomal RNA (468 nucleotides) under uncultured bacterium. Its description in RNAcentral is "partial 16S ribosomal RNA". It matches the Rfam family "Bacterial small subunit ribosomal RNA", at positions 28 to 507 of the family's 1533-position model. The record is from RNAcentral.
GACGAACGCUGGCGGCGUGCUUAACACAUGCAAGUCGAACGGAAAGGCCCUGCUCUUGUGGGGCUCUCGAGUGGCGAACGGGUGAGUAACACGUGAGUAACCUGCCCUUGUCUUUGGGAUAACUCCAGGAAACUGGGGCUAAUACAGGAUAGGAGCUCCUGCUGCAUGGUGGGGGUUGGAAAGUUUCGGCGGUUUGGGAUGGACUCGCGGCUUAUCCGCUUGUUGGUGGGGUAGUGGCUUACCAAGGCUUUGACGGGUAGCCGGCAUGAGAGGGUGACCGGCGACAAUGGGACUGAGGGACGGCCCAGACUCGUACGGGAGGCAGCGGUGGAAAAUAUUGCACAAUGGGCGGGAGCCUGAUGCAGAGACGCCGCGUGCGGGAUGACGGCCUUCGGGUUGUAAACCGCUUUCGCCUGUGACGAAGCGUGAGUGACGGUAAUGGGUAAAGAAGCACCGGCUAACUACGUG